UUGAACGCUGGCGGCAGGCCUAACACAUGCCAGUCGAGCGGAUGAAGGGAGCUUGCUCCUGGAUUCAGCGGCGGACGGGUGAGUAAUGCCUAGGAUUCUGCCUGGUAGUGGGGGAUAACGUCCGGAAACGGGCGCUAAUACCGCUACCGUCCUGUGGGAGAAAGUGGGGGAUUUUCGGACCUCACGCUAUCAGAUGAGCCUAGGUCGGAUUAGCUAGUUGGUGGGGUAAAGGCCUACCAAGGCGACGAUCCGUAACUGGUCUGAGAGGAUGAUCAGUCACACUGGAACUGAGACACGGUCCAGACUCCUACGGGAGGCAGCAGUGGGGAAUAUUGGACAAUGGGCGAAAGCCUGAUCCAGCCAUGCCGCGUGUGUGAAGAAGGUCUUCGGAUUGUAAAGCACUUUAAGUUGGGAGGAAGGGCAGUAAGUUAAUACCUUGCUGUUUUGACGUUACCAACAGAAUAAGCACCGGCUAACUUCGUG
This 483-nucleotide ribosomal RNA is filed under the name uncultured bacterium. RNAcentral's name for it is "partial 16S ribosomal RNA". It matches the Rfam family "Bacterial small subunit ribosomal RNA", at positions 30 to 507 of the family's 1533-position model. The record is from RNAcentral.